AUGAGAAAAUUUGAUCAAAAAAAAAAAAAUGCAAUUUCAAUUUUUGUUCCCAAAUAUAAAAUCACAACUUGAAAGUUUUUUUUUCUUUUUUUUUUUCAAAAUGAUUUCGAGCCCAUAACUAGAAGUUUAAAAAAAACUAUGUGUUCAACAGGGCCAAAUCAAAAUGCUUAGAACUUGCAUUCAAAUGCUCACUUGUCAAAAGUGAUUGCCAAUUUUUCAAUCAUAAGCUUGCAUCACCGAGGGCAUGCGAUUGAUUUCCGCGAAUUUUAAGAUGAAAAUACAAUACAAAAUGAACAAAUAAAAAGGAAAAUGAUACUUACAAUGGGUGCCGACCUUUGUUUUUUUUUUACAUAGACAUGCACAUGAGAUGUGGUUCGAUUUCUACUCUAUAUAGCCCAAAAUGGAGCCAUAGGAUUACCGGACUGAACCAGCAAGAUUGCGG
RNAcentral lists this long non-coding RNA (442 nucleotides) under Eucalyptus grandis. RNAcentral's name for it is "long non-coding RNA (EGRA_LNC007302)". Lineage: Eukaryota; Viridiplantae; Streptophyta; Magnoliopsida; Myrtales; Myrtaceae. The record is from RNAcentral.